RNAcentral lists this ribosomal RNA (497 nucleotides) under uncultured bacterium. RNAcentral's name for it is "partial 16S ribosomal RNA". It matches the Rfam family "Bacterial small subunit ribosomal RNA", at positions 28 to 507 of the family's 1533-position model. The record is from RNAcentral.
GAUGAACGCUGGCGGCGUGCCUAAUACAUGCAAGUCGAGCGAACAGACGAGGAGCUUGCUCCUCUGACGUUAGCGGCGGACGGGUGAGUAACACGUGGAUAACCUACCUAUAAGACUGGGAUAACUUCGGGAAACAGGAGCUAAUACCGGAUAAUAUAUUGAACCGCAUGGUUCAAUAGUGAAAGACGGUUUUGCUGUCACUUAUAGAUGGAUCCGCGCCGCAUUAGCUAGUUGGUAAGGUAACGGCUUACCAAGGCAACGAUGCGUAGCCGACCUGAGAGGGUGAUCGGCCAUACUGGAACUGAGACACGGUCCAGACUCCUACGGGAGGCAGCAGUAGGGAAUCUUCCGCAAUGGGCGAAAGCCUGACGGAGCAACGCCGCGUGAGUGAUGAAGGUCUUCGGAUCGUAAAACUCUGUUAUUAGGGAAGAACAAAUGUGUAAGUAACUAUGCACGUCUUGACGGUACCUAAUCAGAAAGCCACGGCUAACUACGUG